GACGAACGCUGGCGGCGUGCCUAACACAUGCAAGUCGAGCGGAGUUGACAAGAGGAAGUUUUCGGAUGGAAUCUUGCCAGCUUAGCGGCGGACGGGUGAGUAACGCGUGAGCGACCAACCUUGCACAGGGGGAUAACGGACCGAAAGGUUCACUACUACCGCAUGAGACCACGGUGUUGCCUGACACAGGGGCCAAAGGCGGAAUCCGGUGCAAGACGGGCUCGCGCGCGAUUAGGUAGUUGGAGGGGUAACGGCCCACCAAGACUAUGAUCGGUAGCCGACCUGAGAGGGUGAUCGGCCACAUUGGAACUGAGAUACGGUCCAAACUCCUACGGGAGGCAGCAGUGGGGAAUAUUGGGCAAUGGGGGAAACCCUGACCCAGCAACGCCGCGUGAAGGAAGAAGGUUUUCGGAUUGUAAACUUCUGUCCUUGGUGAAGAGAAGAAGACGGUAGCCAAGGAGGAAGCCCCGGCUAACUACGUGCCAGCAGCCGCCGUAA
Molecule: ribosomal RNA, 498 nt
Filed under: uncultured bacterium
Lineage: Bacteria
Description: partial 16S ribosomal RNA
Rfam family: Bacterial small subunit ribosomal RNA
Source: RNAcentral